AUGAAGACCAGGGGGCCCACAACCUUCUCACGAGGGUGGGGGGCGCCCCCCCUAGGGCGCGCCCCCUACCUCGUGGGCCCCCUGGAUGCCCUCCGACGCCAACUCCAACUCUAUAUAUUUGCUUUCGGAGAGAAAAAAAUCAGGGAGAAGAAAUCAUCGCGUUUUACGAUACGGAGCCGCCGCCAAGCCCUAAAACCUCUCGGGAGGGCUGAUCUGGAGUCCGUUCGGGGCUCCGGUGAGGGGGAUUCGUCGCCGUCGUCAUCAUCAACCAUCCUCCAUCACCAAUUUCAUGAUGCUCACCGCUGUGCGUGA
This 312-nucleotide ribosomal RNA is filed under the name Triticum aestivum (bread wheat). RNAcentral describes it as "partial small subunit ribosomal RNA". The record is from RNAcentral. Lineage: Eukaryota; Viridiplantae; Streptophyta; Magnoliopsida; Poales; Poaceae.